Non-coding RNA from Pelobates cultripes (western spadefoot toad), 237 nucleotides. The record is from the annotation of a GenBank genome assembly. Lineage: Eukaryota; Metazoa; Chordata; Amphibia; Anura; Pelobatidae.
CUCCUUGUAACGGGGAUCUAGAAGGGUGGCCAUCCAGUAAUUAGCACGAGUUAGAAUGUGGGCAACUCGGCAGUCGUUGCGCAGGCACUUUGGUGACUAGAGAUAACCUCUGGCCGAUCGCACGUCCCCGUGACUGCGACGGCACAUCCAGAUGUCUGCCCUAUCAACUUUUGAUGUUACUUUCUGCGCCUACCAUGGUGACCACGGGUAACGGGGAAUCAGGGUUCGAUUCCAGAG